Molecule: non-coding RNA, 926 nt
Organism: Microcebus murinus (gray mouse lemur)
Lineage: Eukaryota; Metazoa; Chordata; Mammalia; Primates; Cheirogaleidae
Source: RefSeq, a predicted model, not a curated record
CCCGCCGGCUGGUGCCCCCGAGCGCCGCGCCCGCGCGCGCCGGCCUCGCUGGGCUCCCGGACGGCAGGAGCUUUCUCCGAGCCCUUCUCCCGACCCUGGGCUCCAGGCUAUCGUCCCGCGGCCUCUGCCUGUGCUCAGCCGCCACCCGGGUGCUGUGGCUGCGGAGGGCAUUUUCCUGUUUGGUCGGCUCUCCCAGCAAAAUGGUGUGCAGAGGCGAAACUUGGAGAGAAGAAAAAACCCGAAAAACCCAGUGUCCUGGAACUGACCACAGCAGGAUGGAAGGCAGGGUCCUGCGGUAAAACCCAAGGGAUCGCAGCCCCACCAGGGAGACAUGUACCCGGCCUGGACUGGUCCUUGAGCCUCGCUUGUGGUAGAAAGUAUCAAAUCCUAGAAAUUCAAGCUUCAAAGUACUAGAAGAAAAGUAUAUGGAUGUCACCGAGUAAUGAGAAAUGAAUGAACAUGAGGUGAAGCCAGUGUGACUCUCCAAAGAAGGAAGACCAAAUGGAGGACUUCUCCCCAUCUUCAGCCACCAUGAGCAAGACAGUGGACACCAUGGGCAGAAAGAGGUGGUGACAUAGAGAAAGGUUUGUCAGCCUCAUACAAUGACCACUGAAGAGCUGUUACAUGUUGUUAUCUUAAUUAACUUUACUAACAUCACUUGCAACUAAGAGUUCUUACCAAUACAUGAGGCUUUCACAUUAAUCCUUAUAAGCACACAACAACAUAGAUUUUAUUAUUCCCAUCUUACAUAUGAGGAAACUGAUUUCCAAAGCAAUUAAAUAAUUUUCUCAAGAUCAAAUAGCCAGUAACAGGAAGAGUAGGAACUGAACUUCAAUGCCAUGCAUUAUUUUAUUCUUCCUUCCUUUCCACCUCUUUAAUUAAAGCACAGUCUUCAAGACCCUGAUUAAAUCCUACCUCCUCUGCAA